GAUGAAGAACGCAGCGAAAUGCGAUACGUAAUGUGAAUUGCAGAAUUCAGUGAAUCAUCGAAUCUUUGAACGCAUAUUGCGCUCUCUGGUAUUCCGGAGAGCAUGCUUGUUUGAGUAUCAGUAAACACCUCAACUUCCAUAUCUUUUUUGAAAUGGGAGUUGGACUUGAGUGAUCCCAACGCUUUUCCUCACCGAAAAGUGGCGGGUUACUUGAAAUGCAGGUGCAGCUGGACUUUUCUCUGAGCUAUAAGCAUAUCUAUUUAGUCUGCCUAAAAACAGAUUAUUACCUUUGCUGCAGCUAACAUAAAGGAGAUUAGUUCUUGUGCUGACUGAUGCAGGAUUCACAAAGACAGCUUCGGCCGACUUUGUAAACUCGAUCUCAAAUCAAGUAAGACUACCCGCUGAACUUAAGCAUAUCAAUAAGCGGAGGA
Molecule: unclassified non-coding RNA, 431 nt
Filed under: soil metagenome
Description: partial contains 5.8S ribosomal RNA, internal transcribed spacer 2, and large subunit ribosomal RNA
Rfam family: 5.8S ribosomal RNA (bases 1-120)
Source: RNAcentral